UCUACGGUGUGCAGCAGUGAGGAAUAUUGGUCAAUGGGCGGAAGCCUGAACCAGCCAAGUCGCGUGAGGGAAUAAGGCCCUACGGUUCGUAAACCUCUUUUGCCGGGGAGCCAGGGCGGGGACGUGUCCCGGCCCGGAGAGUACCCGGAGAAAAAGCAUCGGCUAACUCCGUGCCAGCAGCCGCGGUAAUACGGAGGAUUCGAGAGUUAUCCGGAUUUAUUGGGUUGAAAGGUUGCGUAGGCGGGCUUUUAAGUCAGCGGUAAAAAUUCGGGGCUCAAACCCGUCCGGCCGUUGAGACUGGGGGCCUUGAGUGGGCGAGAGGAAGGCGGAAUGCGUGGUGUAGCGGUGAAAUGCAUAGAUAUCACGCAGAACCCCGAUUGCGAAGGCAGCCUUCCGGCGCCCUACUGACGCUGAGGCACGAAAGUGCGGGGAUCGAACAGGAUUAGAUAUCCUUGUAGUC
This 460-nucleotide ribosomal RNA is filed under the name uncultured bacterium. RNAcentral's name for it is "partial 16S ribosomal RNA". It matches the Rfam family "Bacterial small subunit ribosomal RNA", at positions 338 to 795 of the family's 1533-position model. The record is from RNAcentral.